AUUGAACGCUGGCGGAAUGCUUUACACAUGCAAGUCGAACGGCAGCACGGACUUCGGUCUGGUGGCGAGUGGCGAACGGGUGAGUAAUGUAUCGGAACGUGCCCAGUCGUGGGGGAUAACGUAGUGAAAAUUACGCUAAUACCGCAUACGAUCUAUGGAUGAAAGCGGAGGAUCGCAAGACCUCGCGCGAUUGGAGCGGCCGAUAUCAGAUUAGGUAGUUGGGGGGGUAAAGGACCACCAAGCCAACGAUCUGUAGCUGGUCGGAGAGGACGAGCAGACACACUGGGACUGAGACACGGUGCAGGCUCCUACGUGAGGCAGCAGUGGGGAAUUUUGGACAAUGGGCGAAAGCCUGGUCCAGCCAUUACGCGUGCAGGGUGAAGGCCCUCGGGUUGUAAACUGCUUUUGUACAGAACGAAAAGGUUUCUACUAAUACUAGGAGCUCAUGACGGUACUGUAAGAAUAAGCACCGGCUAACUACGUGCCAGCAGCCGCGGUAA
This 500-nucleotide ribosomal RNA is filed under the name uncultured bacterium. Its description in RNAcentral is "partial 16S ribosomal RNA". It matches the Rfam family "Bacterial small subunit ribosomal RNA", at positions 30 to 523 of the family's 1533-position model. The record is from RNAcentral.